This is a long non-coding RNA of Hyaena hyaena (striped hyena), 653 nucleotides long. RefSeq lists it as uncharacterized. The transcript has 2 exons. Lineage: Eukaryota; Metazoa; Chordata; Mammalia; Carnivora; Hyaenidae. The record is from RefSeq and is a predicted model, not a curated record.
ACCGCAGGGGGUGACUGCAGGGGUGGUGCCCAGGGAGAACCAGCCUGGGGGGCAGCAGGGGUGAAGCCUCUGCUCUGCGCACAGGUUUCCCAAGAGCAAGGUACACCCUGCAGGUGGGCUACCGCCUCCAAGAGACACGGGCCAUGGCGCCCUCAUGGCAAGGAGUUCAUCACGUUCUCAAUCCUGCCUCAGUCCCUCCAGGAGAAAGCCCCCGUGCGGAGGUCUUCAACACCUCUGACACUUGCUACCCUCCCUUGUCACCAAGACAGAUCAGGCCUCAGGCUCGGAGCCUCCAGCGGGCAACAGCCUUCUAGCUGGGAUGUGAUAACACUUCCUUGCCUUCAUUUUUAUGGCUGCCUCCCAUUUAUGAAACAUUGGAUACAGUUUACAAAUGGGUUGGGGCCAAGACCUGCCCCCGUCCCCUUGCAAAAACCACUGAAGUUCAAACUCACGGGGGCCGACUCGAUCUGAAAUAAUGUAAGACCGUGAAGGCGUCCAACAGCAGUGCUGGUGGUGACACUGGAGAGACAAUGGUCACAGAACAUGAAGGUAGUAAAAGGCUGUGUGGCAAAGCCUAAGAACCUGAAUACCUUUUGUUGUCGCAGUUCCACCUCUUGGAGUUCAUUAUAAUAAAAAAAGGCAUGGAACAGAAA